GUUUGUUGGCUGCUUUGUGAGGGAGGGAGAGUCAGUACUCUGAGGAUCUGCUCAUGAGAAAACACUAAGAAGAGAGCUGCCAUGAGCCAUUUGCACCUUUGGACCAGAGAGCCAGGGACUGCCUUGGGGUGGAUGGAUGCUGGUUUGCUGGCAAAAGGCUUUCAGGAUCUGAUUUCAAGUACUUUCAGCUCUGGACAGACUUCCUCACUGCUGAGCACAGAAGGAGGGUUUUUCACACUUGUAUUGUUAAAAUGUGACGCUCCCAGGAUGGUACAAAGGAUUUCACAGACGGCUGCUGUUAAAGGUAGUUGGAUUAUGAGGAAGUGUCAUCCCAGCUCUCCCUGAGGUGAGCAGCACUAGGACAGGUGUGGACUUUAGGUAAGGAGGGACCAUCCUGUCUGUAAAAUGAAUUUCCCUCAAAUGGAGCUGGUGGAUUUGCUCUGGUGGACAGCAUCAGCCUUUCAAGCCUCAGUAAGUCCCCUCUCCAUAAGGCAUUUUCCUAACCCAGUUUGGUGUUGCCCCUAUCACUGGUUUGAUUCCUUUUUUAAACCUUUCAUGCACCAUUUUUAAUUGUCAGUUGCCACUUUGCUUUCUGUGCAAAGCUGAGCUGUCCAGCUCCAUCCAUCCUGAGCUGUGCCUCCAAAAACCCUGUGGCGUUUCACACCUCAGCAGGCAGGAGCUUCCAGCCUGGGGUCACUACAUGGCUCCAGCUCUCCUGACUUCCUCCCUCCACUCUGCUCUACUAUUUUAUAUUUUCCUAUUUUUCUAUUUUAAUAUCAAUAGUGUUGUCACAUUAUGGCAAAAAGUCUGUCCUUAGUGGAUAUCUCAGGGCACUGGGUUACACAAAAAUUACACAAAAUUACAUAGAAAAUACACAAAAAUCUUUUACCUCACUUCCCUCAAUUCCUCCUAUGUCAAACUAUGACACCCCAGCAAGUGCAGGUUGCACCCCUGCCCAGCACCACCUCCUCAGCCAGGGAGAGAAGGGGAUCUCCUCCACCUGGAGAGAUCAUUCCUGGCACAGACCACUCUUCACACAGCCCAGGCUGCAGGGAAACACAGAUGGAUUGCACCUCAGAAAAGACAAAAGAUUGUAAGAAAUUCUACUUACUUCCAAAAACUUUAGAAGGUUUAUUAAAACCUUAUCAAAAAUACAACAGAAGACUGAAUUGAGAAAAUAUUACAGAGCCAGGAACAGAGGAUUUUCCCCAGCAUGUGCUCACCCACACCAUGGAGGUUUCCCCUUUUAACCCUUUGGCCCUCCCAAAGUUCUGUCCAUCCCCUCCUCCUUCCCUGCCCAGUGCUGAGAUCACUGCCUGACACCUUGACUGGAGCUCAGGUGCUGCCAUGGGAACGAGUGACCCUCCCAAAUGUCCCAAACCCAGGGCACCCCUGAUAACAGCACAAGGGGGGAAAAACACAACUAUAAAUCUAUAAAACUUCUCCUAACAUACAUACAGGAUAUUUGCCUUUUAAUUGUGAGAGUCACCCAUGGCAUUGCUCAUCUAUCACAAGAUGAGUGACAGACUGUGUCUCUUGUGUGGCUGGGGCAGCCCCACAAGCAAGGCAAGUAAUGAAGAUAAUGAUGAAUGAAGGAUUCAAAACUGAAAAUGCUCCUCCUGUGUUUCUAUUGAUCUUCCAGCAAAGGCCACAUUCCUGACCUUUAAAAUGGAGAUAUAAUUUUAAUGCAGUGGCCCUCUCUGUGUUGCAGUUAAGCAAUUUAGUUCACGGAAAUUCACAAAAUCCCUUUCUGCAGCCUCAGCCCAAACAGCCCCAGUACCAAACACAGUUUGGCCAAUGCUCUUGGGGAAGGGCUGCUGGGGGCCAGCAGGAGCCAUGGCACCAGCAAGCACCUGGCCUCCCAUGAGGAGAGAGGUGCUGAGCUCAUGGCAGGAGGGGUUUCUGUGUGUGACUGGAGGAUGAUCCCGAGGGAAAGGUCACUGCCCUGUCUGGAGCUCCCCAGGCUUCCAGGAUGUGGCCAUCAGCACCCACCAUUCACCCAAGCAGAGCUUCAGUCCACAGUCACAGCCUUCCAGCAGAGCCUCAGAGUCAAACCCCAAAAGCUUUACCUGGGAUGUGGUGGG
Long non-coding RNA from Passer domesticus (house sparrow), 2084 nucleotides. RefSeq lists it as uncharacterized. The transcript is spliced from 3 exons. The record is from RefSeq and is a predicted model, not a curated record. NCBI's taxonomy places the organism in Eukaryota, Metazoa, Chordata, Aves, Passeriformes, Passeridae.